Molecule: long non-coding RNA, 746 nt
Filed under: Gossypium barbadense (sea-island cotton)
Lineage: Eukaryota; Viridiplantae; Streptophyta; Magnoliopsida; Malvales; Malvaceae
Description: long non-coding RNA (GBAR_LNC006697)
Source: RNAcentral
AAUGAUAUCAUAAAUCUAUAAUAAUUACCACAACUGUUUUCAUCACCUUUUUGCAAAUUUGUACAAAAUAUUGAUAAUUAUUACCACAAGAGUUAAAUCAAAGAGAUUAGAGGGAGAUUUAGGAGGCAAAGAAAAUGACCCAACAUCCUCAUCCGAUUCUAUGGACCCACUAAAAGAAGAUAGAAUUAAAAUUAUAUAUAUUUGGGGAAUAAGGAAAAAUCAAACGGGGGAAUAGUAAUACUAAAUAGAAGCCAAAGUGGCAAAGAGAAGGGUGGUGAGUAGGAUGGAGACGAUGUUCCCACGUGGAGAGGAUGAGCCAAGUUGCGGGGAGGGCCCUGAGUGUCACAAUCGGGGAAAAACGCCCCCACAAAUUAACAGCAACCCUCCAUGGCCUUGGGAUUGCGACUUCAAGGCUGUUUCGACCCACAAAUAUUAUACGCCCAUUCUGCCAACCGUCUUCCACUGAACCCUUUGCGCCAUCUUUUGAACCCCUUUUCCUGCCUGUCCCUUUGUGCAUUUUGGUUUUACUUCGACUUCAACACAAAGCUGGAGUUUCCAUAUUACAAUGUUAUUUUAUGUUUUUUUAUUACUUUACGUUGGAUGUGUGAUCACUAUAAUAUUGUAAUAUUGGAAGAAGGGGAAAAAGGAUGAUCGGAAUUGAAUUUGAAAGAUAAAAGCAUCGUGGAGACUAUUGUAUUAAGAGUCAGAUUACAUUUUAUCUUUUUUAUUAAAAAAAUGAACAAUUU